CAGCCGCCACGGUAAUACGAAAGGUCCAAGCGUUACUCGGAAUUACUGGGCGUAAAGCGCGCGUAGGCGGUUUUGUAUGUCGAUUGUGAAAGCCCCGGGCUCAACCUGGGAACUGCAGUCGAAACUGCAAGACUUGAAUGUUGGAGAGGUUGGGGGAAUACCUAGUGGAGAAGUGAAAUUCGUAGAGAUUAGGUGAACACCAGAGGCGAAGGCGCCUGACUGGCCAAACAUUGACGCUAAGGCGCGAAAGCGUGGGUAGCAAACAGGAUUAGAUACCCGCGUAGUCCCUGUCUCUUAUACA
Molecule: ribosomal RNA, 301 nt
Filed under: uncultured bacterium
Lineage: Bacteria
Description: partial 16S ribosomal RNA
Rfam family: Bacterial small subunit ribosomal RNA
Source: RNAcentral